UUCUGGACAUCAAAUAUAAU
This 20-nucleotide non-coding RNA is filed under the name Mus musculus (house mouse). The record is from RNAcentral. Lineage: Eukaryota; Metazoa; Chordata; Mammalia; Rodentia; Muridae.